Long non-coding RNA from Micropterus salmoides (largemouth bass), 2324 nucleotides. RefSeq lists it as uncharacterized. The transcript is spliced from 2 exons. The record is from RefSeq and is a predicted model, not a curated record. NCBI's taxonomy places the organism in Eukaryota, Metazoa, Chordata, Actinopteri, Centrarchiformes, Centrarchidae.
CAGCGGACAACAGAGGCCGUCAUCUCAAGUUGUUACUCACGCCGGACUCACACAGGAGGCUGGCUGCUCACCUGUUCCUGCGGUACAGGUCCUAUUUCUCUCUGGCUUGCUGACUUCUCAAUCGCGCUGUGUAGGUUAGUGUUAAGCGCCACACAUCAAUCUUCUCACGAAAUGAAAAACAAAUCUAUAUUCUGAUAACAUCAACUAGCGGCACAAUCUGGCUCUGUUUGGGAGCUGCAGAAGUUAAUAUGAGGAUUUUUUGCUGAGAUGUCUGCCUGAUUGGCAGUGUUGGUUUCGUUUUUUUAGGCUAUGUCCGAUGAAGUGCAGUGCACUUGUCUCAGGCGGGUAGUCCAGGCUCAGAGGAAAUCUGACGAGGCGUACUGGAGAGUGGUCAGGGCGGACAGGCAAGCUGGCGGACGGCGAGCAAACUGGCUGGUAACUUAGCGGGCGGGCAGGCAGGCAGCGACUCCGCACACGGGAGAAACUGUGACAGACGGAAAACAAGACGUUAGGCAAGAUCAUUUUUGACAUUGAAGCAUAUGGCCGAACCACCCCGAUACUGUGUUCUGCUUGAGGUGUCUACCUGUUAAAGGGAGUGGUGGGAAUUAUUGGGUUUCUGUUAAUAAUGUUCUAGACCUGCUAGAUUACCUUUGUUAUGAAUUGGGGCAAGCCACUUGACUGCUUCUUCUGAGUUCAUUUUGGCUGACAAGUUGCUCGUGGUCUUCGUUUUCGGAAGCUGUAAGUGGUAAGGACCUGUUCUUUUUACCCGUACCUGCUUUUUGUAGAAUUUUCAUUUUGAGCAGCCUGUGCUGGUGGUGUCCAUAGAGAAAGCUCUGUUUUUACAUGUCUGUGUUUAAGCUCUUAAGCUUAGCUCUUGAUAGGCUGCUUUUGUAACAGUCUCUUUGGUUUGGAGAGAUUAAUUUUACUCUUGUGUUCCUGUCUAUACUUUCAGAUAUCAGGCUUAUUUUAUUGGGCAUAAUAAAUGCAAAAGUUACGUGUUUCUAUGAGUAAAAACAGGUAAUUUAAAUUUUUAACAAACAGAUAUUUUGGACUUGUAUUCAGCCAAUGGUUUGAAGUGUUUAUGAACUUUAAUGAGUCACUAAAAGCCUAAAACUGUGCAAGUUAUCUGUUAUUAUAAAUGGGGGAAAAAAGGGCAUCAAAGAGUAGACAUGGCUUUUAGGUCAGUGUAAUGCUACAAAUUACAAAAGUGUGCCUCUUUUUCUCUCUGAAUUUCCAAAACUUUAUUUCAUCCUCUUCCCUUUCGUAAGUAAAAGCAAAUGCAUAAGGCUGCUCUUCAACUACCAAUAAUAUGUUGUGCUUGUGGAAUAUGUUUCUAGGUGGAAUUUCUGAGGAUUACUACUGUUCCACUGUCUCAAAGUUCGUUGACAAACGCACUUCCAAUCUCCUCAGUGUGUUGAAGAAGAAAGGAGACUCUGCAGGAAGGGAACUUCGCAUACUUUUGGCCCAAAGGAUUCAAAUGCUACAGAUGUUCCAAGGGAGCUUAGACAGGUUAUCCUUACAGCAUCAGUGUUGAGGGAGGUGAUGCCACCACUCCUCCAGCUGAUGUUGGAAUAGUCCCCAAGGGUGCUGAAGUUCUGCAGGACUUGGGAGACAUCGCCUCUGCUUGUGAAAUCUUAAUACUGUAGGUGUAAUAUAUGCACUGAACCUCACUAAUCCUCAGAACCUUAAAGCCUUCUUUGACUCUCAACCAAGGUACAGAAUGCUCAAGAACAAACUCUAUGAAUGAGCCAAUCAUUGAUUUGGAUGCUGAGUGUUCUGUAGAAUAGAACUCUAGGCAAUGCUUCACCAAAAUUGUUGACAACUAAACGUUAUUUUGCAAACUUUUCAACACUUUAUAGUGCCAAUAGUUUUACUGUAUAUUUUAUUUUUUUGACCAAUUGCACCAAAAUGUUAACUAUAUUAGUGCCGUGUUGGUGAAUAAAGUCCAUAACAAAAAUAAGUUGAAAUGAAUUUGUGUGGAACCUGUUGACAAAGAUUCGAAUUAUGUUAAACUAAUUUGUUUUCAUUAAUUCAACAUAAAUGUAUAUAUUUACUACAAAAAAAUGUAUAUAUUUACUACAAAAAAAAAGGACAAAUGUAAAAUUUGUAAUAUAUUAAGUUUAUACAACAUAACUGACUUAAUUUUGGUAAGCUUAAAUAUAUAUUGUUGAUCAGAUGUUUUUUAUUUUUUGUUGGAUCAAUUGACAAUCAUUGUGUUACUGUUAUACAAGUUCAUUAAGUUAGAUGACCUUAACAUUUUACUUUUAACUAACCUAAUACAAUUUUGUGGAAUAUGUUGAAAAAAUAAAUAUAAUUAAAGUCAA